This 907-nucleotide long non-coding RNA is filed under the name Malus domestica (apple). RNAcentral describes it as "long non-coding RNA (MDOM_LNC021048)". Lineage: Eukaryota; Viridiplantae; Streptophyta; Magnoliopsida; Rosales; Rosaceae. The record is from RNAcentral.
AAGGAUUAAUUAAUAUGUUAAUUAAUCAAACGAAUAAAGUUCGUUAAAAGACCUAGGGUUAGUUUUAGGCCUUAAGGCCCAAUGGGCUUCGAACGUCAAGCCCAUUGACUUAAGUUGUAUGACAACUUAAUGACUAAAUAUUCACAAAGGCCCAAACAACCCAAUAACACCCUAUGGCCGACCAUAUUGAUAAUGGAGUGGGUUUUGGACUUAUUACAAGUUUGCCACUCCAAUGAAGGUAGGUAUAAAUAUGACUUUAUAGCCUUUUCUUCAUUAGGGGUUUCUUUUGGGAGAAAAGAUGAGAACAAAAGCUCUCUUUGCUCUCUAAGAGGCCGGCCACCCUAGAGGAACAUAACUAGCAAUCUUACUUCCUCUAGGUCACUCAUUUCUUCAUCAAUCCUUCCUUGGUGUCGAGACUUAGAGGUUCUCAACUUUGAGAACUUGGAGAAACCAAUUCUUCCAUCCAAAUCCAUGGAGCUAAGAAGCAAGGAAUGAAGACCCUAUCUCUUGGGUGAUUAUCAUUUGCUUAUGCAAAGAGGAAUCAACAAAGGUAUAUAUUUGCAAACGCUAUCCAAAACUUGACAAAGAAAAACCGAAUGCUUUAGUUUCCGGACUUGGUACCACAAUCCCAAAGAUUGUCUUAAUGGAUUGUAUAUGUAUCUAAGUAGUCUAAUCCUCACAAUCUUCCUAUUGAUAAUGUAUCAUUGGAAGAACAUGUUAGAUAAGUCUAUCAUAAAGAGGACAACACUUUUAAUGUCAUAGUUCUUCACUUACAAAUCGUUGUAUGAAGAAAUAAGAGUUGCUUUGAACAACCCUUAGCUAAUGCAAACACUAAUGCUUGUUUCUUUGUUAAAUGAACAAAUUAACUUGAGAAGAAAGCACAAGGGCAUGGACACUUUAUGUGCCA